GUGGGGAAUAUUGCGCAAUGGGGGAAACCCUGACGCAGCAACGCCGCGUGAAGGAUGAAGGCUUUCGGGUUGUAAACUUCUUUGAUGAGGGACGAAAAAAAUGACGGUACCUCAAAAACAAGCCACGGCUAACUACGUGCCAGCAGCCGCGGUAAUACGUAGGUGGCGAGCGUUGUCCGGAAUUACUGGGUGUAAAGGGCGUGUAGGCGGGGAUGUAAGUCAGAUGUGAAAUACCCGGGCUUAACUUGGGUGCUGCAUCUGAAACUAUAUUUCUUGAGUGCCGGAGAGGAAAGCGGAAUUCCCAGUGUAGCGGUGAAAUGCGUAGAUAUUGGGAGGAACACCAGUGGCGAAGGCGGCUUUCUGGACGGUAACUGACGCUGAGGCGCGAAAGCGUGGGGAGCAAACAGGAUUAGAAACCCUGGUAGUCC
RNAcentral lists this ribosomal RNA (428 nucleotides) under uncultured bacterium. Its description in RNAcentral is "bacterial SSU rRNA". It matches the Rfam family "Bacterial small subunit ribosomal RNA", at positions 354 to 796 of the family's 1533-position model. The record is from RNAcentral.